GACGGAGAACUGAUAAGGGC
This 20-nucleotide microRNA is filed under the name Drosophila erecta. RNAcentral's name for it is "miR-184-RB". The record is from RNAcentral. RNAcentral also lists the same sequence under 3 other names. Lineage: Eukaryota; Metazoa; Arthropoda; Insecta; Diptera; Drosophilidae.